RNAcentral lists this ribosomal RNA (440 nucleotides) under uncultured bacterium. Its description in RNAcentral is "partial 16S ribosomal RNA". It matches the Rfam family "Bacterial small subunit ribosomal RNA", at positions 338 to 795 of the family's 1533-position model. The record is from RNAcentral.
CCUACGGGAGGCAGCAGUGGGGAAUAUUGCUCAAUGGUGGAAACCCUGAUGCAGCGACGCCGCGUGAGUGAAGAAGUAUUUCGGUAUGUAAAGCUCUAUCAGCAGGGAAGAAAAUGACGGUACCUGCUUAAGAAGCCCCGUCUAACUACGUGCCACAAGCCGCGGUAAUACGGCGGGGGCAAGGGUUAUCCGGAUUUACUGGGGGUAAAGGGAGCGUAGACGGCAGCACAAGUCUGGAGUGAAAUGCCCGGGGUUAACCCCGGAACUGCCGUUGAAACUGUGCAGCUAGAGUGCAGGAGAGGUAUGUGGAAUGCCUGGUGUAGCGGUGAAAUGCGUAGAUAUUAGGAGGAACGCCAGUGGCGAAGGCGGCUUACUGGACCGUAACUGACGUUGAGGCUCGAAAGCGUGGGGAGCAAACAGGAUUAGAUACCCCUGUAGUC